RNAcentral lists this long non-coding RNA (277 nucleotides) under Amborella trichopoda. RNAcentral's name for it is "long non-coding RNA (ATRI_LNC003778)". Lineage: Eukaryota; Viridiplantae; Streptophyta; Magnoliopsida; Amborellales; Amborellaceae. The record is from RNAcentral.
UUAAUUUCCAGGUUGAAAAAUCCGAACCAUCAAAUUUUGGAAUUUCAUAUCUAGUUGAACUUCCUCCAACCAUCUUCAAAGAUAUGUGAUCUGUCACAAACCUUAUGCCCAACAAGGAUAAAACCAAAGUUUGGCAAAAAUAAUGCCCAACAAGGAUCUUAAACAACCCUAAGGCUCUGAUACCUGAUACCAAUUGUUGUGGAUAAAACCAAGGUUUGACAAAAAUAAGAGAAAGAAAAAUAGUGCAGAAAAAUAAAAGACAGAAACUCAAAGAUUU